GAUGAACGCUGGCGGCGUGCCUAAUACAUGCAAGUCGAGCGAACAGACGAGGAGCUUGCUCCUCUGACGUUAGCGGCGGACGGGUGAGUAACACGUGGAUAACCUACCUAUAAGACUGGGAUAACUUCGGGAAACCGGAGCUAAUACCGGAUAAUAUAUUGAACCGCAUGGUUCAAUAGUGAAAGACGGUUUUGCUGUCACUUAUAGAUGGAUCCGCGCCGCAUUAGCUAGUUGGUAAGGUAACGGCUUACCAAGGCAACGAUGCGUAGCCGACCUGAGAGGGUGAUAGGCCACACUGGAACUGAGACACGGUCCAGACUCCUACGGGAGGCAGCAGUAGGGAAUCUUACGCAAUGGGCGAAAGCCUGACGGAGCAACGCCGCGUGAAUGAUGAAGGUCUUCGGAUCGUAAAACUCUGUUAUUAGGGAAGAACAACUGUGUAAGUAACUAUGCACGUAUUGACGGUACCUAAUCAGAAAGCAACGGCUAACUACGUG
This 497-nucleotide ribosomal RNA is filed under the name uncultured bacterium. RNAcentral describes it as "partial 16S ribosomal RNA". It matches the Rfam family "Bacterial small subunit ribosomal RNA", at positions 28 to 507 of the family's 1533-position model. The record is from RNAcentral.